ACGGGGGAUCACUCGACUCGUCCGUCGAUGAAGAGCGCGGCCAGCCGCGAGAACUGAUGCGAAUUGCAGGACUCAGUGAACAUCGACACCUCGAACGCACAUUGCGGCCUCGAGAUCC
RNAcentral lists this ribosomal RNA (118 nucleotides) under Acanthosepion pharaonis. RNAcentral's name for it is "Sepia pharaonis 5.8S ribosomal RNA (partial)". It matches the Rfam family "5.8S ribosomal RNA", at positions 9 to 127 of the family's 154-position model. From Rfam's summary of the family: 5.8S ribosomal RNA (5.8S rRNA) is a component of the large subunit of the eukaryotic ribosome. Lineage: Eukaryota; Metazoa; Mollusca; Cephalopoda; Sepiida; Sepiidae. The record is from RNAcentral.